RNAcentral lists this ribosomal RNA (817 nucleotides) under uncultured bacterium. RNAcentral describes it as "bacterial SSU rRNA". It matches the Rfam family "Bacterial small subunit ribosomal RNA", at positions 1 to 806 of the family's 1533-position model. The record is from RNAcentral.
UAGAGUUUGAUCCUGGCUCAGGACGACCUCUGGCGGCGUGCCUAACACAUGCAAGUCGAACGGAGAUGUUAAGGAAGUUUUACUGAAUUAAUGUCUUAGUGGCGGACGGGUGAGUAACGCGUGGGUGACCUACCCAUAAGAGGGGGAUAACAGUUGGAAACGACUGCUAAUACCGCAUAAGCUGAGUAAUCAGUAAAGGAGGCCUCUGAAAAUGCUCCCGCUUAUGGAUGGGCCCGCGUCUGAUUAGCUGGUUGGUGGGGUAAAGGCCUACCAAGGCGACGAUCAGUAGCCGGCCUGAGAGGGUGAACGGCCACACUGGGACUGAGACACGGCCCAGACUCCUACGGGAGGCAGCAGUGGGGAAUAUUGCGCAAUGGGGGAAACCCUGACGCAGCGACGCCGCGUGAGCGAAGAAGGCCUUAGGGUCGUAAAGCUCUGUUUUAAGGGACGAAUGUCGCGGGUAAUAAUACGAUCUGCGAAUGACGGUACCUUAAGAGGAAGCCCCGGCUAACUACGUGCCAGCAGCCGCGGUAAGACGUAGGGGGCGAGCGUUGUCCGGAAUUACUGGGCGUAAAGAGCACGUAGGCGGGAUUUUAAGUCAGGUGUGAAAGACCGUGGCUCAACCACGGGGUUGCACUUGAAACUGGGAUUCUUGAGGGCAGGAGAGGAAAGUGGAAUUCCUGGUGUAGCGGUGAAAUGCGUAGAAAUCAGGAGGAACACCGGUGGCGAAGGCGACUUUCUGGACUGACCCUGACGCUGAGGUGCGAAAGCGUGGGUAGCAAACAAGAGUAGAUACCCUGGUAGUCCACGCUGUAAA